Molecule: unclassified non-coding RNA, 317 nt
Filed under: uncultured Borrelia sp.
Lineage: Bacteria; Pseudomonadati; Spirochaetota; Spirochaetia; Spirochaetales; Borreliaceae
Source: RNAcentral
AGGGUUUUUAUUUUAUACUUUAAACCUUGAAUUUAUUUUUUAAACGUUUAUAUUAUUUGAAUGUUAUAUUCAAAUAAUAUAAAAAAUAAUAUAUAUAUUGACAUGGAUUAAACAAAGAUAUAUAUUAUUUUAUGUUGUAUAAACAAAUUGGCAAAAUAGAGAUGGAAGAUAAAAAUAUGGUCAAAGUAAUAAGAGUCUAUGGUGAAUGCCUAGGAGCUUUAAGGCGAAGAAGGUCGUGGUAAGCUGCGAAAAGCUUGGGGGAGAAGCAAACAUUUAUUGAUCCCAAGAUUACCGAAUGGAGUAAUCCAGCUAGCAAG